Beta vulgaris subsp. vulgaris (sugar beet) is the source of this 1788-nucleotide long non-coding RNA. RefSeq lists it as uncharacterized. The transcript has 3 exons. Lineage: Eukaryota; Viridiplantae; Streptophyta; Magnoliopsida; Caryophyllales; Amaranthaceae. The record is from RefSeq and is a predicted model, not a curated record.
ACAAAAGCCUUACUCCAGACAAACAGCUCGUCCCACACCUAACUCUAGAUGUGCUAAUUUGGCACUUAGAACACACAAGCACUCACGCUUAAACUCACAAACGCUUCCCAACCACUAACCUCUUAGUGGUUUGGUUUAUCAAUGAUGCUUUCACACAAAGCUAAGUAAGAGAUAUUGAAAUCCUAGUAUAGUGUACACUCAAAUUAAGGACAUGGUUCUGCUAGAUGAGGCCAACCCGGGUAUGGUAUCCCAAGUUUCGUCUUAAUAACUCAAGGAUCUUAUAGGAGUACACUUACUCACAUCAGUUUCUACUUUCUACUUUAGGGAUGAAUCAACAUACACUGAUGGAAAGAUCUACAAAAAGGAUGAAAGGACUGCAACAAAUUACGAAACAUUGGCAUAAAAUAAACAAGAAACACAAUUAAGAGAAUUGCAGAUCUACAUUAUCAAGUAUCAAUUGAACCAUAUAAGAGAUGAAUGAGAGAGAGAGAGAGACCGCAACAGCAUAGCAAGCAGCGCACUUGUCAUCGAUAGGAGUAGCGAACGUUAAGAAGGCAAAGAAGGUCGCAAGCCAUAACCACGAAUAGGAUGCCGCCAUUUCUGUGUUUCCUUGAAGUCGUCUUCUUCCAACACAGGUAUCCCAAUUUUGAGCUUGGAUUGGUAUCUAUAUCAUAGUAAAAUGUCAAAAUAUUAUCUUACAAAUUUUUUUUUACCAAAGCUAAAUCAAAGUAAUACUAAAAUAGAGUUAUUUGAUACUACAAAUCAAAGUAAUUUUAUUUUGGUACCAAGAUUAUAUUUUUGUAUGAGUGAGUGUAGAGAUGGCAACGGGUAGAAUCUGGAUAGGAUGCAUAUCCAUAUUCUUUUUUAGGCAAGGAUCCAAAUCCUACUCGGAUCUAUUGGGUAAUAAGAAGAAUGAGGAUCCAGAUCCUUAUGGAUCCUACAGAUCCGGGCCCUAAAUAGAUCUUUGUCUAUUUUCUUCAAAUUAUCCUAAUUUUCACAAUAAUUAAAGAUUUUGAACAAUAAAGUCAUCUAAUAUUAAUCAAAAAUUACAUUUACUUUCUGAAAAAUAACAAUUGCAACCAUUUACAACUAUUUAAUUAUCAAACUGUAGACUAAUUAACUAUUUCUAAAAUAUUAACAAUUAUCAAUCGAUUUUUCGAACUAAAUAAUCCAGUAAAUUCGCACAUUAAUUAGAACAAUAAUUCGAAAUUCAAGCAAAAGUUCGUUAUUACAUGUAAUAACUAAUAUUACAAUAUCAAAUAAUAAUAAUAAUAUUAUAAAAAGAGGUAAAUGGAUCUGGAUUUGGGUAAUAGUUUAGGAUCCGAUCCAUAUUCGUAUUUUUCCAAAGAGGAUCCAUAUCCUACCCGGAUCCUAGAGUCCAAAAAUUGAGGAUCCAAAUCCGUAAAAAAUGGAUAUGGAUCCACGGAUCCGAGUAGGGUCCAUUACCCACUGUCAUCUCUAAGUGAAUGACUCUAUUUUGGUAUCACUUUGAUUUAGUUUUAGUACCAAAAUUUUGUGAGAUGCAUAUGAGUUACCAAUACUUUCUCCCGGUUUUCGCUCGGUAUUAGUGAGACAUUCUUCAGUCUUGGUAUAUACUCCCUUCAUUUUCUUUUGUUUUUUUUUUUUUAAUAAGGAGAACAAACUUAGGCUAACCCCCCUAAUCUGGGGACCAGCCUCCUCCAUUUUCUUUUGUUGUUCAUGUAUUAUCUAUUGGUAAAUUUAAAUAUGUUGUUCCUAUUUUGAAUGUUUUCAUAAAUAAUAUAAUUUAUGAACUAAAAUUUUCAUUUA